AACGAACGCUGGCGGCAUGCCUAACACAUGCAAGUCGAACGAGACCUUCGGGUCUAGUGGCGCACGGGUGCGUAACGCGUGGGAACCUGCCCUUAGGUUCGGAAUAACUCCCCGAAAGGGGUGCUAAUACCGGAUAAUGUCUUCGGACCAAAGAUUUAUCGCCUUUGGAUGGGCCCGCGUUGGAUUAGCUAGUUGGUAGGGUAAAAGCCUACCAAGGCGACGAUCCAUAGCUGGUCUGAGAGGAUGAUCAGCCACACUGGGACUGAGACACGGCCCAGACCCCUACGGGGGGCAGCAGGGGGGAAUUUUGGACAAGGGGCGAAAGCCUGAUCCAGCAAGGCCGCGGGAGGGAUGAAGGCCUUAGGUUUGUAAAGCUCUUUUACCCGGGAUGAUAAUGACAGUACCGGGAGAAUAAGCCCCGGCUAACUCCGU
This 432-nucleotide ribosomal RNA is filed under the name uncultured bacterium. Its description in RNAcentral is "partial 16S ribosomal RNA". It matches the Rfam family "Bacterial small subunit ribosomal RNA", at positions 29 to 506 of the family's 1533-position model. The record is from RNAcentral.